RNAcentral lists this transfer RNA (91 nucleotides) under Sedimenticola sp. Its description in RNAcentral is "tRNA-Ser". It matches the Rfam family "tRNA". Rfam says of the family: Transfer RNA (tRNA) molecules are approximately 80 nucleotides in length. Their secondary structure includes four short double-helical elements and three loops (D, anti-codon, and T loops). Lineage: Bacteria; Pseudomonadati; Pseudomonadota; Gammaproteobacteria; Chromatiales; Sedimenticolaceae. RNAcentral also lists the same sequence under 1 other name. The record is from RNAcentral.
GGAGAGGUGGCAGAGCGGUUGAAUGCGGCGGUCUUGAAAACCGUUGAGGGUUUGUAGCCCUCCGUGGGUUCGAAUCCCACCCUCUCCGCCA